GGGUUUUACCCCCUUUUCUGUCUUGGCAUCACUUGUUAAAACCCUUUUCCUUUCUUCUUUCUCCAGCUAUUUAUUCACAUCAUGACGCGCCCGAACUCAAAGUCUGGUUCUCCCCCCAAGACCCCCAAGUCCAACUAUAAAGCCUUCUAUUCAUGGGCCCCCGACGAGCUCUUGAACGAAUGUACCACCCUGACAACCAUUCAGGACCUGGAGAAUCAUCAUGGGGAUCCUCACUUGUAUAAUUUUAAUGCUUU
This 254-nucleotide long non-coding RNA is filed under the name Phaseolus vulgaris (common bean). RNAcentral describes it as "long non-coding RNA (PVUL_LNC001659)". The record is from RNAcentral. Lineage: Eukaryota; Viridiplantae; Streptophyta; Magnoliopsida; Fabales; Fabaceae.